UGGGGAAUAUUGCGCAAUGGGCGAAAGCCUGACGCAGCAACGCCGCGUGAGUGAUGAAGGCCUUCGGGUCGUAAAGCUCUGUCGGAGGGAACGAAUGCUCUUGAGGUUAAUAGCCUCGGGAGGUGACGGUACCCUCAAAGGAAGCACCGGCUAACUCUGUGCCAGCAGCCGCGGUAAUACAGAGGGUGCAAGCGUUGUUCGGAAUCAUUGGGCGUAAAGGGCGUGUAGGCGGGUCGUUAAGUCGGGGGUGAAAGCCCAGAGCUCAACUCUGGAACUGCCUUCGAUACUGGCGACCUGGACCCAAGGAGAGGCGAGUGGAAUUGCGAGUGUAGAGGUGAAAUUCGUAGAUAUUCGCAGGAACACCAGUGGCGAAGGCGACUCGCUGGACUUGUGGUGACGCUGAGAUGCGAAAGCGUGGGGAGCAAACAGGAUUAGAUACCCCGGUAGUCCCUGAGCGGGCUGGCAAGGCGCAU
This 473-nucleotide ribosomal RNA is filed under the name uncultured bacterium. Its description in RNAcentral is "bacterial SSU rRNA". It matches the Rfam family "Bacterial small subunit ribosomal RNA", at positions 355 to 825 of the family's 1533-position model. The record is from RNAcentral.